CUUUCAAAGUAGUCAUUUUAAUCGGUUAGAAGAAAGCUAGAGCGGAGGAACCGAAUUGUGGGGCGUAUCUCUUGAGCCUUAAUUAUCCUAUUCAGCCCGAAAAUUAAGGUAGAAAGUAGAAGGACAUCUCUCAGUCCUAGCCCGUCAGCUAACUUCGUAGGCAUCGAGAGGAGACUGA
This 178-nucleotide small RNA is filed under the name Gloeocapsa. RNAcentral describes it as "sp. c-di-AMP sequence". The stretch from base 25 to 178 matches the Rfam family "c-di-AMP riboswitch aptamer (ydaO/yuaA leader)". Rfam says of the family: This family represents a conserved RNA structure found upstream of the ydaO and yuaA genes in Bacillus subtilis and related genes in other bacteria. The ydaO/yuaA element is thought to act as a genetic "off" switch for the ydaO and yuaA genes in its native state. Lineage: Bacteria; Bacillati; Cyanobacteriota; Cyanophyceae; Chroococcidiopsidales; Chroococcidiopsidaceae. The record is from RNAcentral.